UGGGGAAUUUUGGACAAUGGGCGAAAGCCUGAUCCAGCAAUGCCGCGUGUGUGAAGAAGGCCUUCGGGUUGUAAAGCACUUUUGUCCGGAAAGAAAUCCUUGGCUCUAAUACAGUCGGGGGAUGACGGUACCGGAAGAAUAAGCACCGGCUAACUACGUGCCAGCAGCCGCGGUAAUACGUAGGGUGCAAGCGUUAAUCGGAAUUACUGGGCGUAAAGCGUGCGCAGGCGGUUUGCUAAGACCGAUGUGAAAUCCCCGGGCUCAACCUGGGAACUGCAUUGGUGACUGGCAGGCUAGAGUAUGGCAGAAGGGGGUAGAAUUCCACGUGUAGCAGUGAAAUGCGUAGAGAUGUGGAGGAAUACCGAUGGCGAAGGCAGCCCCCUGGGCCAAUACUGACGCUCAUGCACGAAAGCGUGGGGAGCAAACAGGAUUAGAUACCCUGGUAGUCCACGCCCUAAACGAUGUCAACUAGUUGUUGGGGAUUCAUUUCCUUAGUAACGUAGCUAACGCGUGAAGUUGACCGCCUGGGGAGUACGGUCGCAAGAUUAAAACUCAAAGGAAUUGACGGGGUCAUAGCUGUUUCC
RNAcentral lists this ribosomal RNA (584 nucleotides) under uncultured bacterium. Its description in RNAcentral is "partial 16S ribosomal RNA". It matches the Rfam family "Bacterial small subunit ribosomal RNA", at positions 355 to 937 of the family's 1533-position model. The record is from RNAcentral.